GGGGCCAUGAUGUGAAAAAGGAGGGUGAAAAAGGCGAGGAUACCGAGAAAAUUGUGGAGCACAAACACAGACACUCUAUACUCUAGGCUACACUCUAUACUGUGGGGCUGGAGACAAAAUGGCGGACAAGACUCAGGCGUCGUAAAG
Sphaeramia orbicularis (orbiculate cardinalfish) is the source of this 147-nucleotide long non-coding RNA. RefSeq lists it as uncharacterized. NCBI's taxonomy places the organism in Eukaryota, Metazoa, Chordata, Actinopteri, Kurtiformes, Apogonidae. The transcript is spliced from 3 exons. The record is from RefSeq and is a predicted model, not a curated record.